RNAcentral lists this ribosomal RNA (441 nucleotides) under uncultured bacterium. RNAcentral describes it as "partial 16S ribosomal RNA". It matches the Rfam family "Bacterial small subunit ribosomal RNA", at positions 338 to 795 of the family's 1533-position model. The record is from RNAcentral.
CCUACGGGUGGCAGCAGUGGGGAAUAUUGCACAAUGGGGGGAACCCUGAUGCAGCGACGCCGCGUGGGUGAAGGAGUGCUUCGGCAUGUAAAGCCCUAUCGGCAGGGAAGAAGCAAGACGGUACCUGACUAAGAAGCCCCGGAUACCUAGGUGCCAGCACCCGCGGUAAUACGUAGGGGGCGGGCGUUACCCGGAUUCAUGGGGUGUAAGGGGAGCGUAGACGGCUAAGCAAGCCAGGGGUGAAAGCCCGGGGCCCAACCCCGGGACUGCCUUUGGAACUGGCUGGCUGGAGUGCGGGAGGGGCAGGCGGAAUUCCUGGUGUAGCGGUGAAAUGCGUAGAUAUCAGGAGGAACACCGGCGGCGAAGGCGGCCUGCUGGACCGCGACUGACGUUGAGGCUCGAAAGCGUGGGGAGCGAACAGGAUUAGAUACCCUUGUAGUC